RNAcentral lists this ribosomal RNA (1312 nucleotides) under uncultured bacterium. RNAcentral's name for it is "partial 16S ribosomal RNA". It matches the Rfam family "Bacterial small subunit ribosomal RNA", at positions 63 to 1375 of the family's 1533-position model. The record is from RNAcentral.
CGAACGGAAAGGCCCUUUAAAUGCAAGGGGUACUCGAGUGGCGAACGGGUGAGUAACACGUGGGUGAUCUGCCUUGCACUUCGGGAUAAUCCCGGGAAACUGGGUCUAAUACCGGAUAGGACCAUGCUUUAGUGUGUGUGGUGGAAAGUUUUUUCGGUGCAAGAUGAGCCCGCGGCCUAUCAGCUUGUUGGUGGGGUAAUGGCCUACCAAGGCGACGACGGGUAGCCGGCCUGAGAGGGUGUACGGCCACAUUGGGACUGAGACACGGCCCAGACUCCUACGGGAGGCAGCAGUGGGGAAUAUUGCACAAUGGGCGCAAGCCUGAUGCAGCGACGCCGCGUGGGGGAUGACGGCCUUCGGGUUGUAAACUCCUUUCGCUAGGGAAGAAGCCACUGUGUGGUGACGGUACCUGGAUAAGAAGCACCGGCUAACUACGUGCCAGCAGCCGCGGUAAUACGUACGGUGCGAGCGUUGUCCGGAAUUACUGGGCGUAAAGAGCUCGUAGGUGGUUUGUCGCGUCGUCUGUGAAAUCCCGGGGCUUAACUUUAGGGCGUGCAGGCGAUACGGGCAUAACUUGAGUGCUGCCCUUAGAGACUGUAAUUCUGUGGUGGAGGGGUGAAAUGCACAUAUGUCGGGAGGAACUCGGAUGGGGAAGGCUUGUGUCUCGUCAAGACUGUCACUGAGGAGAGAAAGCAUGGGUAGCGAACACGAUUAGAUACCCUGGUAGUCCACACCCUAAACGGGGGGCGCUAGAGUGUGGGGGUUUUAUAUAUGAUUCCCGUGCCGUAGAUAACGCAUUAAGCGCCCCGCCUGGGGAGUACGGCCGCAAGGCUAUAACUCAAAGGAAUUGACGGGGGCCCGCACAAGCGCGCGGAGCAUGUGGAUUAAUUUGAUGCAACGCGAAGAACCUUACCUGGGCUUGACAUACACCGGAUCGGUGCAGAGAUGUAGUUUCCCUUGUGGCUGGUGUACAAGUGGUGCAUGGUUGUUGUCAGCUCGUGUCGUGAGAUGUUGGGUUAAGUUCCGCAACGAGCGCAACCCUUGUCUUGUGUUGCCAGCCCGUUAUGGUGGGGACUCGCGAGAGACUGCCGGGGUUAACUUGGAGGAAGGUGGGGAAGACGUCAAAUCAUCAUGCCCCUUAUGUCCAGGGCUUCACACAUGCUUCAAUGGUUGGUACAAUGGGUUGCGAUACCGUGAGGUGGAGCUAAUCCCUUAAAACCGGUUUCAGUUUGGAUUGGAGUUUGCAACUCGACUCCAUGAAAUCGGAGUCGCUUGUAAAGGGANAUCUCCACCCCUCCCNNNAUNCNUUUCC